AACGAACGCUGGCGGCAUGCCUAACACAUGCAAGUCGAACGAGACCUUCGGGUCUAGUGGCGCACGGGUGCGUAACGCGUGGGAACCUGCCCUUAGGUUCGGAAUAACUCCCCGAAAGGGGUGCUAAUACCGGAUAAUGUCUUCGGACCAAAGAUUUAUCGCCUUUGGAUGGGCCCGCGUUGGAUUAGCUAGUUGGUAGGGUAAAAGCCUACCAAGGCGACGAUCCAUAGCUGGUCUGAGAGGAUGAUCAGCCACACUGGGACUGAGACACGGCCCAGACUCCUACGGGAGGGAGCAGUGGGGAAUAUUGGACAAUGGGCGAAAGCCUGAUCCAGCAAUGCCGCGUGAGUGAUGAAGGCCUUAGGGUUGUAAAGCUCUUUUACCCAGGAUGAUAAUGACAGUACCGGGAGAAUAAGCUCCGACUAACUCCGUG
Molecule: ribosomal RNA, 433 nt
Filed under: uncultured bacterium
Lineage: Bacteria
Description: partial 16S ribosomal RNA
Rfam family: Bacterial small subunit ribosomal RNA
Source: RNAcentral